This 1499-nucleotide ribosomal RNA is filed under the name Enterococcus hirae. RNAcentral's name for it is "bacterial SSU rRNA". It matches the Rfam family "Bacterial small subunit ribosomal RNA". The record is from RNAcentral. Lineage: Bacteria; Bacillati; Bacillota; Bacilli; Lactobacillales; Enterococcaceae.
GGGGGUGCUAUACAUGCAAGUCGAACGCUUCUUUUUCCACCGGAGCUUGCUCCACCGGAAAAAGAGGAGUGGCGAACGGGUGAGUAACACGUGGGUAACCUGCCCAUCAGAAGGGGAUAACACUUGGAAACAGGUGCUAAUACCGUAUAACAAUCGAAACCGCAUGGUUUUGAUUUGAAAGGCGCUUUCGGGUGUCGCUGAUGGAUGGACCCGCGGUGCAUUAGCUAGUUGGUGAGGUAACGGCUCACCAAGGCGACGAUGCAUAGCCGACCUGAGAGGGUGAUCGGCCACAUUGGGACUGAGACACCGGCCCAAACUCCUACGGGAGGCAGCAGUAGGGAAUCUUCGGCAAUGGACGAAAGUCUGACCGAGCAACGCCGCGUGAGUGAAGAAGGUUUUCGGAUCGUAAAACUCUGUUGUUAGAGAAGAACAAGGAUGAGAGUAACUGUUCAUCCCUUGACGGUAUCUAACCAGAAAGCCACGGCUAACUACGUGCCAGCAGCCGCGGUAAUACGUAGGUGGCAAGCGUUGUCCGGAUUUAUUGGGCGUAAAGCGAGCGCAGGCGGUUUCUUAAGUCUGAUGUGAAAGCCCCCGGCUCAACCGGGGAGGGUCAUUGGAAACUGGGAGACUUGAGUGCAGAAGAGGAGAGUGGAAUUCCAUGUGUAGCGGUGAAAUGUCGCUAGAUAUAUGUUGAGGAACACCAGUGGCGAAGGCGGCUCUCUGGUUUCCUUUUUGUAACUCGACGCUGAGGCUCGAAAGCGUGGGGAGCAAACAGGAUUAGAUACCCUGGUAGUCCACGCCGUAAACGAUGAGUGCUAAGUGUUGGAGGGUUUCCGCCCUUCAGUGCUGCAGCUAACGCAUUAAGCACUCCGCCUGGGGAGUACGACCGCAAGGUUGAAACUCAAAGGAAUUGACGGGGGCCCGCACAAGCGGUGGAGCAUGUGGUUUAAUUCGAAGCAACGCGAAGAACCUUACCAGGUCUUGACAUCCUUUGACCACUCUAGAGAUAGAGCUUCCCCUUCGGGGGCAAAGUGACAGGUGGUGCAUGGUUGUCGUCAGCUCGUGUCGUGAGAUGUUGGGUUAAGUCCCGCAACGAGCGCAACCCUUAUUGUUAGUUGCCAUCAUUUAGUUGGGCACUCUAGCAAGACUGCCGGUGACAAACCGGAGGAAGGUGGGGAUGACGUCAAAUCAUCAUGCCCCUUAUGACCUGGGCUACACACGUGCUACAAUGGGAAGUACAACGAGUCGCAAAGUCGCGAGGCUAAGCUAAUCUCUUAAAGCUUCUCUCAGUUCGGAUUGUAGGCUGCAACUCGCCUACAUGAAGCCGGAAUCGCUAGUAAUCGCGGAUCAGCACGCCGCGGUGAAUACGUUCCCGGGCCUUGUACACACCGCCCGUCACACCACGAGAGUUUGUAACACCCGAAGUCGGUGAGGUAACCUUUUGGAGCCAGCCGCCUAAGGUGGGAUAGAUGAUUGGGGUGAAGUCGAACAAGGAGCUU